This 305-nucleotide ribosomal RNA is filed under the name uncultured bacterium. RNAcentral's name for it is "partial 16S ribosomal RNA". It matches the Rfam family "Bacterial small subunit ribosomal RNA", at positions 338 to 658 of the family's 1533-position model. The record is from RNAcentral.
CCUACGGGGGGCAGCAGUGGGGAAUAUUGCACAAUGGGGGGAACCCUGAUGCAGCGACGCCGCGUGAGUGAAGAAGUAUUUCGGUACGUAAAGCUCUAUCAGCAGGGAAGAAAAAAGGACGGUACCUGAGUAAGAAGCCCCGGCUAACUACGUGCCAGCAGCCGCGGUAAUACGUAGGGGGCAAGCGUUAUCCGGAAUUACUGGGUGUAAAGGGAGCGUAGACGGUGAUGCAAGUCUGGAGUGAAAGGCGGGGGCCCAACCCCCGGACUGCUCUGGAAACUGUGUAACUUGAGUGCAGGAGAGGG